CAUCUAGGCAAUAUAGUGGAGUGGUUUAAAGCAUAGUUCUGGACUCAGACUUCCCUAUACAAAUCCAAAAUGCUUUGUUAAAGUUGGAGCACCUUUUGAACAGAGCUGGCUGUGAUCAUAUUUGCUGCUAAGUGGAUUAAUGAGACUGACGUUUACUAGACAAAAGACAGAUGGCUACUCAGUGAGGAAAAUGGAAUCCUGGCUGAAAGGCAAGCCUGUAAUCUAUUUGUCACAGUGCCCAAGCAGAGCACAACACCGAAUAUUUUAUUCACACUGCGGUGCUGAGAGCCAGAUGUGGAUAAGAAAAAUUGCACUGGAGUCUGUUGUAUUAUGACUGAGACAAGUUAUCUAUAAAGAGCUUUUCAGAAAACAAGAGCUCACAGCUUAGAGGAAUAGGACCAAAGAUCAGAAAGCUUUAAACAACCUACAGUAAGGGGACAAGCAGGGUCUUAUAUGGAGAAGCAUGGAGUCAAGUGUAAAUACCUAUGUAGAAAUCCAUUCAUGCUUUCCCAGCUGGAUCCUUCAAGGGCAAGUAGGGGCCAUUUAAGCAGUCUGAACUGGGCAGGCUUUUAAUAUUGUUACAUAUUAUUAUAUCACAACUGCCUAUAUCAUCGACCAUUUACAGAACACCUGAACCAGAAAUGUCUGAGCCAGAACCAGGAGUUCGGGGAUUGACUUUCUUCUGUGGUGCCUCCAGGAGCCAUUGUUUAUAACAUUUCUACCAAGUUCCAAGGAAGAGUUUGACUUGUAUAUUUAUCUCUGUGGCCCAUUGGAUGGCAUGGGGAGGAACCUGCUCUAGCCUUCUCAAAUUUUCUUCUCUGGUUUCAUGCUCUAACAACUGCAUAAUCCUUGUAGGGCCUAUGGAAGGAGCAGGCAGAGCCAGUGUCCAUUCCUGCUGUCAACAGAAUACAGUUGUGCUCCUAGGCUUGAUUUGGAGUUGUUCUUGCCCGUAUGUUUUUUAAAAUAGCUGUGCACUGUGGCCUCUGAGCCAGAGCAGUGAGCCUCCUUGGAGGUAUUUGUAUUUGCAAAAUGAAUAGCAUUUUUUUCUCCUUAAAUAGGGUGAUUGUCCUACUCUCUAUCAAUAUCUAUCUGUCCAUUCCUCAUUCAAUCUCACUAAUUCAUUCAAAUAUUUAUUAAGCACACCCCCCAAACAUUUAAAAAAAAAAUUUUCCAGCACUUGAGGGUUAUGAUAGUUUAAUACCUAGUUUAUAUACUGCUUUUUGGAUCUCUCACUUGUUUUUUUAAGUGUCUAAUCAUCAAGGCAUCUCCUCAUUCAACUGUGAAAUAAGUCAAAAGCACAAAUACUUAAAUUAAGAAACCCAAAGAUUUUCCGC
This 1334-nucleotide long non-coding RNA is filed under the name Sus scrofa (pig). RNAcentral describes it as "lncRNA (ENSSSCG00070025416.1)". The record is from RNAcentral. Lineage: Eukaryota; Metazoa; Chordata; Mammalia; Artiodactyla; Suidae.